AUAAAAAGUGUGUUCUUUUGCUACUCGGAGUCAUCUCUGUCCUGAUUACAGAGCAACCCCUGCACUUUGGAUCAUUAAACCACUUGACUGAUUGCAUCGCACUCCAUCUCCGUGCUUUCGUGAGUGGUAUCUCCCGGACAUAGGGCUCAUUGGAUCCUACAUUGGUACAUUGGCCGGGAAUCUGUCCUACUCAUGGAACUGGUGACCGGAGACUGGAGGAUAGCUCAAGCAGAUACCACGGUUGUCUCUGUCUGCAUAUUGUCUAAAUGUUUGUUUAGUUUUUCUUGGUUCACUGAUUCUGUGCUGCCACUGGGAAAUUUGGUUUCAGUUUGCAACUGAGCGAGAGAGUUGCCAAUUGGAGGUAGCCAUAAGUGGCAAGUAGAUUUGUCUGAAUGUCACAAGCUACAGAUUCCUGGAGGACAUUCCAGACUCCGUUUGGAAAGUUGGAACUGAGAAGCCCACCUGGGACAAUAUCCAAAAACUCAUGACAGUGUUCUUCAUGACCAGAGAGUGAGAGAGGAUAAUGCAGGAAGCCAGAAAGAAUGUCCCCUCAGAAACAGGGCACCAUCGAUUAACCAGGCUGUCACUGACAGUGGAUUUUCCUUGACUAGACCUGACUGUGACUACUAAUACAGCAGGAGGUAAGGAUCACCUGAAGGUCUGCCACUAGAUUCUGCUGGCAGGUGUCAAGUGGGUUGCAGGAUGACCCACCAAUUUGACCAAGGUCAGAGAUGAGUGGGUGCUGCCAUGGUGGACAACACAAAUGUCAUUUGUUAUGGCUGAACCUCUACCUCUCAGCACAUCAGCACAGAUGCCUUUGCCACAGCCCACGUCCAAGGGGUUACAUACCAAGAAAGAAAAAAAAACACAGAAAAUCUUGAGCCUGUUGGAUGCCCUAGUGAAGUCGGCAACUUGUUUGUAGAUACUUUCCCUGGAUGGGUUGAGGCUUUCCCCAUCAAGCAGGAAAUAACUACUGUGGUAGCCAAGAAGAUAUUAGAAGAAAUCUUCCUGAGGUUUGGGGUGUCCAAGGUAAUUGGAUUGGACAAUGGUCCUGCUUUUGCUUCUAAGGAAUGCCAGAGACCCCUCACCAUUUCCAGACUGGUGACUGGGUCUACAUCCAGAGGCAUCAGGCACAGUCACUGGAACCCUGAUGGAAGGGACCCUUCCUGGUGCUGUUAACCACUCAGAAAGACCUUUCAGUGGACUGUAUUGCAGCCCCGGUGCAUGCAUCCCAUGUGAAACCUGCAGAUGCCUCACUCCCUGGGGACUCCUGCUGCCCCCAUGUGCUGGUCUGUCAAACCUGGACUGUGGUUUCUACUGGAACUGGAGAUGAGGUUUCCUCCAUGACUGCCUCCAAACCUCUCGACACCUGGUGGCCCGACCUCACUUUUGACCUGGUGGCAGGACUUGACUUGUGGGACAUACCCAUCCAUGAUGGGAGUUCUGGUGGAAUCAAACUGCCCAUGUGAGAGAAAAAGGGCUCUGGGCUGGGAGUGGGGGGCGAUAAGAAGUGCAUUCCUUGUACAGAGGUGUCACUUGUGGGAGACCCCCCCAAUUAGGUUUACCCUCAAUGGAAAAAAGCAGGCAGAAGUUCA
Rattus norvegicus (Norway rat) is the source of this 1595-nucleotide non-coding RNA. NCBI's taxonomy places the organism in Eukaryota, Metazoa, Chordata, Mammalia, Rodentia, Muridae. The record is from RefSeq and is a predicted model, not a curated record.